Long non-coding RNA from Triticum dicoccoides, 2171 nucleotides. RefSeq lists it as uncharacterized. The transcript is spliced from 10 exons. The record is from RefSeq and is a predicted model, not a curated record. Lineage: Eukaryota; Viridiplantae; Streptophyta; Magnoliopsida; Poales; Poaceae.
UCACCGCCCCGCACAAACCCUACCCUUUCCAGCGCUCCCAAAUUGAUGCAGCCGCCUCCCCUCUCCCUCCCUUCCUUCCCAAACGCGCCGGCCGCCUCCUCUCCACCUGCCGCCUCCCCUCUCCCUCCCUUCCUCCCCAAACGCGCCGGCCGCCUCCUCUCCACCUGCCAUACCGCGUCCCUGCUGGCGGUGGGAGGAUAUCCGGGGGAGCAGAGGAGGGGGUUGGAUGAGGGGUUAGGAGGUGCGAGGCGAGCAGGAGGUGGGGUUGCCGGAGGAGCACAGCCGCCAGAGCAGAGCAGAGGAGUUCGAUGCAGGGGCACAAUGGGAUUGUCGGAGAGCGCGCGGUAUCCUGCGAUACAUAUCCGCUCCCAAGCAAAGGAUGCAUCAGCGCUCGCUCCUCCUCUCCCCGACGCCACCGCUUUCCUGCGUCGUUGCUGCCGCCACGGCCUUGCUUGCCAUCGACCUCCCGGAGUGCUUCUCUCCACUGCAUUCCCCUUUGCACGAGUUCUUGCCUUCAAAGCUAAGAUGAAAUGGCUCUUCUCAUAUUUGCCUAUAAACUGUUUGAUGAAAUGCUUGUGUCGUAACGAGUUCUUUUUCUUCAGUUUGUUCUUCCUGCUGCUAAGUAUUAGUCCUCUUAUUGAUCUUGCCUGAUUUUCUCGUCGGUCUUGCAUUUGAAGCUCAGGGGUUGUGACUCUAUGAGGAUGUUGUUUAGUGUGAACUGCAACUUUUUUUGGUUGGUGGAGUUCCUCGAGCAUUGCUUAACUUGAAUGAUAAACUACUGAGCAAGUUGGCCUGAGAGCAGCGAGGUUACAGCUCCAGAUGGUUCUUGGUUGCAAUGGGGGGAGAUGCAGGGGAGGGUGAGGAGGCUAACGACAGGGUGAAGUAGCCCGGCGACGAGUGCAAGCAGCAUGAGGCAUUGUAUGGGAUUGAUCUAUCAUGCUGGGAUUAGUUGUAGACUUCCUUGCUGAACCAUACAGGGAGCAAUGCAUCCCCAGUUUGCUUCCAGAGAAGGAAGGGGAAGAGGGUUUUCUUGUUGCUGCUAUUCCUCGUGGAUAUUCAAGAGGCAACUUGGCACCUAAUGUCAGCAACGUGCUUAUCGGUGACGAGGGAAAUGAAAGAAGGCUGCAAUGGAAUUUGUACUAGAUCAGAUUUUGGCCAUGUAGUUUCCGGUGACUGGAAGUCUAAAACUGAGGAUAGGACAGAUUGUUUUGAUUCCGAUUACUUGGAGAUCUUGUGGCUUGCUGUCCCUGGAUCAGUCAGACCUACGGCAGCAUCAACUCGUUGAUCCUAGAGGCCAUGGUUCUCGAGGUGAGUUGAGUUGCUACUUGGUUGGAGAUGUUGAUGUCGUUCGAGACGCCCGCUGGAUUCACCCUUUUCAAGGUUCUGAAUAAGGGCAAGCUCGACAAGGUCGAGUGGUACAGGUAUGAUCUUCAUGGAGCUAGCCAUCAUUGGAUUUGGUAAUACAUAAUCACUUAUUCAGAGAGCCCAAGGUGAGAAGGGAAGAGCAUCUAGAACACCACCACCUACUAAUCAGUGAGCUACUAUCUGUCUUUGAAUGAGUUACUUAACAAGAGAAGGCAGGAGUUUCCUACCUUUCUUCUGCAAAUCUGGAAUGCCUUUAUGGCAUGAUCAUGUGAAAAAGUACCUUGAUGCAGUAAUGGAUUUGAUUAUCACUGGUUACUCUGUUUUCACGAAUUACUAUCCAACCUCGCUUGAAUCUGUCCAGACCUGAAAAAUACUUAUACUUUGAAAGCUUGAUAUAUGAGUAUGUAAUUUUACAGAGCAUGGAAGAACCAAAAGGUAGUUGAUCAGCAGGAUGGCAAGAGGAAGACAAGAACCAAAUUAAAGUUUGUUGAUGUGCAUGUCUGUAUCUAUCAAGAUUCAGUGCUAUGUAGAAAUGUCCCUGAGAUUUGUUUCACUCAACGAGACCAAACAAUCUGGAACACAAGUAGGAUAGUUGAUGCUUUUUUCAUUUUUCUUCUGAUAAAAAGGAAUCUUCAUCUGCCAAGAAUACCGCCUACAAGCAUGUAUGCCUAAUUACCUAUAUGCUGAUUUAACAAGCUCACAUACAUGUCCAUUUUUGAAAAUAGUUUACCAUCCUCAAACAUAUAACUUGUGUGUUGUUGCUUUCCAUUAUAUUGAGAAAAACAUAAGUUUCAUUGGACCUUUUA